This 484-nucleotide ribosomal RNA is filed under the name uncultured bacterium. Its description in RNAcentral is "partial 16S ribosomal RNA". It matches the Rfam family "Bacterial small subunit ribosomal RNA", at positions 28 to 523 of the family's 1533-position model. The record is from RNAcentral.
GACGAACGCUGGCGGCGUGCUUAACACAUGCAAGUCGAACGAUGAAGCUAGAGCUUGCUCUGGUGAAUUAGUGGCGAACGGGUGAGUAACACGUGAGUAACCUGCCCCGAACUCUGGGAUAACUGCUGGAAACGGUAGCUAAUACUGGAUACGACCUACGAAGGCAUCUUCUGUAGGUGGAAAGAAUUUCGGUUCGGGAUGGACUCGCGGCCUAUCAGCUUGUUGGUGGGGUAAUGGCUGACCAAGGCGACGACGGGUAGCCGGCCUGAGAGGGUGACCGGCCACACUGGGACUGAGACACGGCCCAGACUCCUACGGGAGGCAGCAGUGGGGAAUAUUGCACAAUGGGCGCAAGCCUGAUGCAGCAACGCCGCGUGAGGGAUGACGGCCUUCGGGUUGUAAACCUCUUUUAGUAGGGAAGAAGCGAAAGUGACGGUACCUGCAGAAAAAGCACCGGCUAACUACGUGCCAGCCGCCACCGUAA